Cygnus olor (mute swan) is the source of this 639-nucleotide long non-coding RNA. RefSeq lists it as uncharacterized. The record is from RefSeq and is a predicted model, not a curated record. The transcript has 3 exons. Lineage: Eukaryota; Metazoa; Chordata; Aves; Anseriformes; Anatidae.
GGUUCCUUCUGUCAACAACUGCCUUAUGCACACCGUCUGAAUACAUCUGCGUGGGAAAUGGGACCCUGCUGCUUUGUGCGUAAUUACAGCAAAACGUGAUGCUCCCCUCUGCAGAGCGUGGGGCACCGGCGGUCACGGGAAGGAGCCGGAAAGCGUCGGGAUGACACGUCCCCGCCGUCCCAGGGGAGAAAAAACGUGCACAAGGGAAUGUGGGACUCGAGGUGGGUCAGGAAGCGUCCUUUCACCUUCCUCCUCUCUGAAGAACAAGAAGGCAGCGUUUGUCAGGCAGAGGAAAGGGAGCCGAAACGCAGCAGGAGCCGUGGGGAGCCCGCUGCAGGCAGCCGACCGCAAGGAGAUAGCAUCCCUGUGAACACGCAUCAGAGACUGCACACAUUCGAGUCCCACAUCAACGACAUGCAGAUUCCCCCUCGAAUUCAGAUGCUUUCAGCCAAAACCCUCUGUUGCGCAUUUUGGCGCACAGAGAAAACUGAUUUUGGUGAGCUUUUCAGUGGUUCAGUAAACUCGGAGGUGCUUCCUGUGACCACAGCCCUCCAGGCCUGCUCAUGUACAGCACAGCGUAUCACUAACUGUGCCACAAGGCCAGACGACUGCAACACAUUGUGAUAAAACCAUUAAAAA